GAGAGUGCUUGCUGUGUAACAAAUGCUGCAUAACAAGCUAUAAAUAUUCCUGCUGAAGUUAGUUUGUAACUUCAAGUCAGAGAUGGAAAAUAUCAAUGGUGAAAAAAUAAUAUUGAUUUUUCAUGUUAAAAAGACACUUUUUCCAGGCUACAAAACUAACUCUUGCUGAAUUUGAAGAGAAAUUCUUCUUCCUUUAUUUUCUAAGUAUCUUUUGUUUUAUUAUGUGUAUUCCAGCUAUGUAUGCAUCACAGCCCUUCUCCUUCUUUUUCAGUAUUAUAUCUAUGGUUUUCUCAUUGUUGUCUUUAUGCCAUGUCAUUUUACAUGGUACUUUGUAGGUUUUGAUGAGAAAGUUGGUAUUUUUUUAAUGUACUAAAAAAUUAGUUUUAACUGGAGAGUUUGUCAAUACAACUUUCAGAUCAGUUAAUUAAGAUAAAAGGCAUUCAGUAUCCACAGGUGAGAGGAAUAAGUCAGUUAGUUUUCUUUUUUUCUGCUUGUAAAAGAAAAAAAAUCUUACACAAAGUGUGGCAAAUAUUUGCUAAAAAAUAUAUCUCAGAAAUUAAAUUUUUAAGAAAGCUAAUGGUGAGUGAAAUUUUUUAAAUUUAAUUUUCUAUGAUAUAGCACAACUUAACGUUUCCGUGCAGAAUCUUCUAUUUUUAAGUGUGAAUGUUAAAGUUUGUAAAAUAAUAAAAUGACCUCUGUGGAUUUAAAAUUUGGAAUAAUAUUUCUUUUUUAUAUUGAUAUUACAAUUUGAAAAAAUCUCUCAGUCUUAUAU
This 772-nucleotide long non-coding RNA is filed under the name Homo sapiens (human). RNAcentral describes it as "HSALNT0257111". The record is from RNAcentral. Lineage: Eukaryota; Metazoa; Chordata; Mammalia; Primates; Hominidae.